UACGUAGGGUGCAAGCGUUGUCCGGAAUUAUUGGGCGUAAAGAGCUCGUAGGCGGUUUGUCGCGUCUGCUGUGAAAACUCGGGGCUUAACCCCGGGCCUGCAGUGGGUACGGGCAGACUAGGGGUAUGCAGGGGAGAACGGAAUUCCUGGUGUAGCGGUGAAAUGCGCAGAUAUCAGGAGGAACACCGGUGGCGAAGGCGGUUCUCUGGGCAUUACCUGACGCUGAGGAGCGAAAGUGUGGGGAGCGAACAGG
RNAcentral lists this ribosomal RNA (253 nucleotides) under uncultured bacterium. RNAcentral describes it as "partial 16S ribosomal RNA". It matches the Rfam family "Bacterial small subunit ribosomal RNA", at positions 524 to 776 of the family's 1533-position model. The record is from RNAcentral.